This 882-nucleotide ribosomal RNA is filed under the name Cladonia cariosa. Its description in RNAcentral is "SSU rRNA". It matches the Rfam family "Bacterial small subunit ribosomal RNA", at positions 353 to 1242 of the family's 1533-position model. The record is from RNAcentral. Lineage: Eukaryota; Fungi; Ascomycota; Lecanoromycetes; Lecanorales; Cladoniaceae.
UUUGGGAGAUGUAUAGCAAUAGCUGAUUGCACCAACAAACAGUUGAUGCAAAAUUGAUUAUAUCAAAUAAAAUUCUAGGUAGAUUUUUGAUAAUGACAUUGCUUACCUAAGUCUUGACCAAAUUACGUGCCAGCAGUCGCGGUAAUACGUAAAAGACUAGUGUUAUUCAUCUUUAAUUGGUUUAAAGGGUACCUAGACAGCGAAUAAAGCCAUAGUAGGGACUAAUUCGCUAGAGUUACUUAUGAGGGGGUAUUAAAGUACUGCAGGUGUAGAGAUGAAAUUUUGUUAUACCUCUUCUCGUAUGAGAAACUAUGGCACAGGUAUAGGUGAAAGCAUCCCCUUAUGUGAUAACUGACGUUGAGGGACGAAGGCUUUGUGUCGCGAACAGGAUUAGAUACCCCAAUAGUCAAAGCAGAAAAUGAUGAAUGUCAUAGAUUAGAUAUGCAAUUUAUUCUAUAAAUGAAAGUGUAAGCAUUCCACCUCAAGAGUAAUUUGGCAACAUUGGAACUGAAAUCAUUAGACCGUUUCUGAAACCAGUAGUGAAGUAUGUUGUUUAAUUUGAUGAUACGCAAAAAACCUUACCACAAUUUGAAUAUUUAUAUACAUCUUUUAUUGAUUUUUACUAACAUAUUUGUAGACAAUUAAAAUGAUGCCUAUGUCCCGUUUAUGAGACUAAGCAUCAAAAAAGAUAAUAUAUUUACAAGCGUUGCACGGCUGUCUUCAGUUAAUGUCGCGAGAUUUUGGUUAGUUCCAUUAAAUUAACGUAAACCCUUACUUUAUUUAUAUAUAAAGUAGUUCUCCGCUAUAUUGGAUAUGAUAACAGGGACUAAGACAAGUCAUCAUGGCCUAAAUAUUGUGGGCUAUAGACGUUGGCCCACAUAA